UCGUUUUCUGAAUAACCCAUUAUAGGAAAUAAUGCCUGCCCAGUGAAAUUUAAACGGCCGCGUUAGCGUGAGCGUGCUAAGGUAGCGUAAUAAUUAGCCUUUUAAUUGGAGGCCAGUGAAUGGCAAGACUAGGAACACCUUUACUCUGCGUACAAAAAAAACUUUUCGUCUAAGUGAAAAGACUUAGAUAAUAAAGGUAGACGAAAAGACCCCGCGGAGCUUUAUCUUUUCAUAUACGAUCGUGUACUUGCCAAAAGUAUUUUAGAUUUGAUUGGGGCAAUCUUGGAAUCAGCAAAACUUCCGAUUCUUUAAAAAAACUUAUUCAAAAUUUAAUAAGAACUUAAGAGUACAUAUCGAAAGUUGGGUUUGCGACCUCGAUGUUGGCUUAAGGAUAUCCACAUAAGUGCAACCGCUAUGACAGGAUAGUCUGUUCGACUAUUAUACCCUU
RNAcentral lists this ribosomal RNA (448 nucleotides) under Utterbackia peggyae. RNAcentral's name for it is "partial large subunit ribosomal RNA". It matches the Rfam family "Bacterial large subunit ribosomal RNA", at positions 1816 to 2597 of the family's 2925-position model. The record is from RNAcentral. Lineage: Eukaryota; Metazoa; Mollusca; Bivalvia; Unionida; Unionidae.